This 468-nucleotide ribosomal RNA is filed under the name uncultured bacterium. RNAcentral describes it as "partial 16S ribosomal RNA". It matches the Rfam family "Bacterial small subunit ribosomal RNA", at positions 28 to 507 of the family's 1533-position model. The record is from RNAcentral.
GACGAACGCUGGCGGCGUGCUUAACACAUGCAAGUCGAACGGAAAGGCCCUGCUUUUGUGGGGUGCUCGAGUGGCGAACGGGUGAGUAACACGUGAGUAACCUGCCCUUGACUUUGGGAUAACUUCAGGAAACUGGGGCUAAUACCGGAUAGGAGCUCCUGCUGCAUGGGGGGGGUUGGAAAGUUUCGGCGGUUGGGGAUGGACUCGCGGCUUAUCAGCUUGUUGGUGGGGUAGUGGCUUACCAAGGCUUUGACGGGUAGCCGGCCUGAGAGGGUGACCGGCCACAUUGGGACUGAGGUACGGCCCAGACUCCUACGGUCGGCAGCAGUGGGGAAUAUUGCACAAUGGGCGGAAGCCUGAUGCAGCAACGCCGCGUGCGGGAUGACGGCCUUCGGGUUGUAAACCGCUUUCGCCUGUGACGAAGCGUGAGUGACGGUAAUGGGUAAAGAAGCACCGGCUAACUACGUG